This 24-nucleotide non-coding RNA is filed under the name Arabidopsis thaliana (thale cress). The record is from RNAcentral. Lineage: Eukaryota; Viridiplantae; Streptophyta; Magnoliopsida; Brassicales; Brassicaceae.
AGGAUCCGCGCGUUUCUAAACGAG